AUGUAUGAUACAGACACUACUUCAGUUAAUGUUAAUAAGUAUCGGAUGCGUGCUUUCAACACCUAUGUUAAGCAAUGUGGUCUUUUUAAUAUCGAAUAUAGCGGUCCGGCUUAUACUUGGACGAAUAAGCAAUUUUCUUCAAAUCCUAUGUUUGAAAGGCUAGAUCGAUGCCUUGUCAAUGCUGAAUGGUGUGGUCGGUUUCCCAACACUAAUGUUUUCAAUUUGCCUAUUAUUCUUAGUGACCAUGCUCCUAUUUUGGUAUCCACUAAAUCUCUAUUUCGUAGGCCGAAGCUCCAUUUUAAAUUCGAAAACUGGUGGACAUUUGAAGAUGAUUUCCAUGACAUGGCGGCGAAUGCUUGGAACUCUUCUGUUAAUAGGCCUUUCCAUGCCAGGACGACUAACCUUGCAGGAGCAAUAAAGAGGUGGUGUAAAAAGAAGAAACCCAUACAACAACAAUUGGACACAAUUCAAUAA
This 474-nucleotide ribosomal RNA is filed under the name Triticum aestivum (bread wheat). RNAcentral describes it as "partial small subunit ribosomal RNA". The record is from RNAcentral. Lineage: Eukaryota; Viridiplantae; Streptophyta; Magnoliopsida; Poales; Poaceae.